This 484-nucleotide ribosomal RNA is filed under the name uncultured bacterium. RNAcentral's name for it is "partial 16S ribosomal RNA". It matches the Rfam family "Bacterial small subunit ribosomal RNA", at positions 30 to 507 of the family's 1533-position model. The record is from RNAcentral.
AUUGAACGCUGGCGGCAGGCCUAACACAUGCAAGUCGAGCGGAUGAAGGGAGCUCGCUCCUGGAUUCAGCGGCGGACGGGUGAGUAAUGCCUAGGAAUCUGCCUGGUAGUGGGGGAUAACGUCCGGAAACGGGCGCUAAUACCGCAUACGUCCUGAGGGUGAAAGGGGGGGAUCUUCGGACCUCACGCUAUCAGAUGAGACUAGGUCGGAUUAGCUAGUUGGUGGGGUAAAGGCCUACCAAGGCGACGAUCCGUAACUGGUCUGAGAGGAUGAUCAGUCACACUGGAACUGAGACACGGUCCAGACUCCUACGGGAGGCAGCAGUGGGGAAUAUUCGACAAUGGGCGAAAGCCUGAUCCAGCCAUGCCGCGUGUGUGAAGAAGGUCUUCGGAUUGUAAAGCACUUUAAGUUGGGAGGAAGAGAAGUAAGUUAAUAUCUUGCUGUUUUGACGUUACCAACAGAAUAAGCACCGGCUAACUUCGUG